UACGUAGGGUCCGAGCGUUGUCCGGAAUUAUUGGGCGUAAAGAGCUCGUAGGCGGUUUGUCGCGUCUGCUGUGAAAUCCCGAGGCUCAACCUCGGGUCUGCAGUGGGUACGGGCAGACUGGAGUGCGGUAGGGGAGAAUGGAAUUCCUGGUGUAGCGGUGAAAUGCGUAGAUAUCAAGAGGAACACCUGCGGCGAAGGCGGGUUGCUGGGCCGACACUGACGCUGAUGCGCGAAAGCUAGGGGAGCGAACGGG
This 253-nucleotide ribosomal RNA is filed under the name uncultured bacterium. Its description in RNAcentral is "partial 16S ribosomal RNA". It matches the Rfam family "Bacterial small subunit ribosomal RNA", at positions 524 to 776 of the family's 1533-position model. The record is from RNAcentral.